Molecule: ribosomal RNA, 434 nt
Filed under: uncultured bacterium
Lineage: Bacteria
Description: partial 16S ribosomal RNA
Rfam family: Bacterial small subunit ribosomal RNA
Source: RNAcentral
AGCGAACGCUGGCGGCAGGCCUAACACAUGCAAGUCGAACGAACCUUUCGGGGUUAGUGGCGGACGGGUGAGUAACACGUGGGAACGUGCCUUUAGGUUCGGAAUAACUCAGGGAAACUUGUGCUAAUACCGAAUGUGCCCUUCGGGGGAAAGAUCUAUCGCCUUUAGAGCGGCCCGCGUCUGAUUAGCUAGUUGGUUGAGGUAAUGGCUCACCAAGGCGACGAUCAGUAGCUGGUCUGAGAGGAUGAUCAGCCACAUUGGGACUGAGACACGGCCCAAACUCCUACGGGAGGCAGCAGUGGGGAAUCUCGCGCAAUGGGCGAAAGCCUGACGCAGCCAUGCCGCGUGAAUGAUGAAGGUCUUAGGAUUGUAAAAUUCUUUCACCGGGGACGAUAAUGACGGUACCCGGAGAAGAAGCCCCGGCUAACUUCGUG